This 468-nucleotide ribosomal RNA is filed under the name uncultured bacterium. Its description in RNAcentral is "partial 16S ribosomal RNA". It matches the Rfam family "Bacterial small subunit ribosomal RNA", at positions 28 to 507 of the family's 1533-position model. The record is from RNAcentral.
GACGAACGCUGGCGGCGUGCUUAACACAUGCAAGUCGAACGGAAAGGCCCUGCUUUUGUGGGGUGCUCGAGUGGCGAACGGGUGAGUAACACGUGAGUAACCUGCCCUUGACUUUGGGAUAACUUCAGGAAACUGGGGCUAAUACCGGAUAGGAGCUCCUGCUGCAUGUUGUGGGUUGGAAAGUUUCGGCGGUUGGGGAUGGACUCGCGGCUUAUCAGCUUGUUGGUGGGGUAGUGGCUUACCAAGGCUUUGACGGGUAGCCGGCCUGAGAGGGUGACCGGCCACAUGGGGACUGAGAUACGGCCCAGACUCCUACGGGAGGCAGCAGUGGGGAAUAUUGCACAAUGGGCGGAAGCCUGAUGCAGCAACGCCGCGUGCGGGAUGACGGCCUUCGGGUUGUAAACCGCUUUCGCAUGUGACGAAGAGUGAGUGACGGUAAUGGGUAAAGAAGCACCGGCUAACUACGUG